Molecule: long non-coding RNA, 1194 nt
Organism: Toxorhynchites rutilus septentrionalis
Lineage: Eukaryota; Metazoa; Arthropoda; Insecta; Diptera; Culicidae
Exons: 3
Source: RefSeq, a predicted model, not a curated record
UGCAACCGCCAUUUCUCUAAUGGAAGCGAAGCGAUACGGAGCUUAAAAUCGUAGAAAUCCAUAACAACGGUUUCACGCAGCCAUCGCAACCAACAGCAGCAAUUGACCGCCUCUCGAUCGAUUCGUUGUUCCAGGAAACGAUGGAUAUCAGUUGGGCCAAUCGUACCGUAAGCAGCAAGGAAACCAACAACAACCGUUUUACACUGAGCAAUCAACAGCGACCGAUUCGGACAACAUUGACUCGGAUGGAAGCAGCAGCAACAGCGCGGAUUGUCGGUGUUAUUCCAUAUACUGUCUACAGCAAAAACUCCACUAGCUGAUGAACGAUAUGCUACGGCGAAAGUAUCACAAUUUCAAACACAUCGUCCCGACAACAUUAAUUCUACAACAGUACUUGGCGACGGCACCCAGCGAAAACCAUCAUCAUCACUACCACCGACAGCAGUCCACUAAUCCUUCCAUCGAAGGAUCGGAGGGAAAGCGAUAUGUGUCCCAUUUGUGACACAAUUUCCUCCACAAAUCACGACUUUACGGAGCUCAACAACAGAAAAUCCGCGUUUGAGGAUGAUGGGGAGGGUCAGUUUGCGUGGUAAAUUUGCUUCAAGGCGCUUCGUUACUGGAUCGGUACAUGCUACCUCCGCUCGAAUUUGGAGCGUCACAUCAAGCAGUGACAUCCUUAAUUCUGGUCGUAUUGACAGCGCGGAGGCAGAGAUCCAAAUCCAUCGUCGACAUGGCAGAAAAAAAAAUCGUAUAAAGCCUAGCGCCAAACCGAGUCAACUGCCCCUACUGGCAUGUUCCCCUCGGACAUCAGCAUAGGAUCGGAAAACAACAGUCCACUGGAGAAAAUUGCGAUCUCUUCGAAGGUAUUGCCCACGACAGAUUCCACCGUAAAGAAGAUUUUUUCUGAUAUCGAACUCUAGGGGGGAGGUAUUGGAAAAUCGAAAUAAUCACAUCCAAUGUGCAGCGGUUCUAAGCUAACAUGUGGAUGAGUGGAGAAUUCUAUCAAAUUUAAAGAACAAGUACUACGAAUUUUGAUCUACAAUGGUCAAUCCGCAUGUGACUGAACUGGAAGAUUUUUUUCACUAUGCAGCUUCCAUUGGGAUUUCCAGUAAAAAUAGGUAAAUGCUCAAUUAUUUUAAAAAUUUCGCAAAUGUCCGAAAAGGCACACUUUUGAGUACUGUGAUACCCAACUCG